Molecule: long non-coding RNA, 1210 nt
Filed under: Mus musculus (house mouse)
Lineage: Eukaryota; Metazoa; Chordata; Mammalia; Rodentia; Muridae
Description: long non-coding RNA chr1:91223973-91225183
Source: RNAcentral
UGCCUCUGUCUCUCAGGUGUGCACCACCACUGACUGGCACAGCCCCUGCUCUUAGUACUUGGAAAUAGUCAUGAAUUAACAACUAGCGAGAGAGAAUGCCUACCGUGAGCCAGAAGCUUCGGCUGAGUAGCACGUGAAGAGGGUGCUGUCUCUGUGUCCCUUCCCUAAAGGUCACCCUGUCUUCUCUGAGAAACCCUAGUGCAUAGGACAAGUGAAGGCCAAGAGGUGCCAGGGAUGUGACCUCCUCCUCCACUCAGCACUGUCCCUUCUGUCCCUGGGAAGCCAUGGACAGUAGUGACAGCAUUAAUCUGAAAAAUAGGGUUGAGCUAUGGCAGCGUGUGCCUGGAAUCAAAGCACUUUGGGGUGUUGAGGUAGAAGGAUUGCUGUGAGUUUGACGUCAACCUGGGAUUUAUAAGCCUGUUUAUAAAAAAAAGAAAAUGAGGGGGAAGGGUGGGGAAGAAUGAAGAAGAGACAGAGGAAAAAUGCAAAAGAAAAUAAGACUGGGCUCAUUUGUGACCUGAACUGGAGACCAGAGACCAGCCUGCCUUCCCGGACUUUGACAUGGAAAUCCAAAGGAUGGGAAAACAAGACAUGCAUAAGUCACAGAAUCCAAAAGCUGCAAGAGAACCAGGGAGCUGACUUGGGAGAUGAAGCUGACCCAGUGCCUCGUUCCCGGAACUGCGCAUACUAACAAGUUCUCAGGGUUUCCAGUAAACCAAGAAGGCUGGGGUUUGAGGUCAUCUGCAGAGCGUGGCCAUCCUGUGCUCAGCUAAGCAGGGGGACAGGCAAGGGAGCAGUGAGCCCAAGACCCCUCACACAUGACCCCUCUCACAGGAUGACUGCUUGUACACCAGCCUUCCAGGGAAGCCUGGUCCGCUGGGAGUGGAUCUCCAUCCAUUCCUCAAAAAUGAGCAUUAGCGGUAUCCUCCUGAAAACAAGUCAGAAGUGUGGAGCAGAAGUCUUGAGUGUCUGUUUGCAGUCAUUUCUCUUGUAGGAACUCAUCCCAAGUACAUAAUUACCAUGUGCACAAGGGCCCGUGGGGACCAGGAGCGGAAGAGAGGAGACACCCUCGAUGGUCCAACUGGAGGACUGCUCCAUCAGAUUAACUCCAGAUGAUGGAAGGCAAUGGUUUCCUUAAUGGCGUCCUUGGGGGUGGGGGGGGGGGGUUCCCAGUGUGUGCAGUUCAUUGAAAAUGCAGAUUUUAAAACAG